GAAAUUAAUUAAAUAGCCGCAGUAAAUUAACUGUGCUAAGGUAGCAUAAUAAUUAGUUUUUUAAUUAAAAACUAGAAUGAAAGAGAAAAUGAAAAAUUAACUUUUUAAUUAUAAUAAAUAAAUAUAAAUUAAUUUAUAAGUUAAAAAUCUUAUAUAAAAUAAAAAGACAAGAAGACCCUUUAGAAUUUUAUAAAUAAAAAAAUUUAAUAAUUAUAAAUUUGAAUAUUUAUUAAGUUGGGGAGACUAUGAAAUAUUAAAAACUUUCACUUUUUUAAAACAAAAAUAAAUGAAUCUAUAAAUAUCCAGUUAACAGCCGAAUAAAAAACAAAUUACCUAAGGGAUAACAGCGUAAAAUUUCUAAAAAGAUCAAAUUUACAGAAUAAAUUACGACCUCGAUGUUGGAUUAAGAAAAAAUUAUAAAGAAGAAUUUAUAAAAAUUAGGUCUGUUCGACCUUUAAUCUCUU
RNAcentral lists this ribosomal RNA (464 nucleotides) under Aleyrodes proletella. Its description in RNAcentral is "partial large subunit ribosomal RNA". Lineage: Eukaryota; Metazoa; Arthropoda; Insecta; Hemiptera; Aleyrodidae. The record is from RNAcentral.